This 807-nucleotide ribosomal RNA is filed under the name uncultured bacterium. RNAcentral's name for it is "bacterial SSU rRNA". It matches the Rfam family "Bacterial small subunit ribosomal RNA", at positions 60 to 878 of the family's 1533-position model. The record is from RNAcentral.
AGUCGAACGGAGCUGAGAGGAGCUUGCUUUUCUUAGCUUAGUGGCGAACGGGUGAGUAACGCGUGAGUAACCUGCCCUGGAGUGGGGGACAACAGUUGGAAACGACUGCUAAUACCGCAUAAGCCCACGGCCCGGCAUCGGGCUGAGGGAAAAGGAUUUAUUCGCUUCAGGAUGGACUCGCGUCCAAUUAGCUAGUUGGUGAGGUAACGGCCCACCAAGGCGACGAUUGGUAGCCGGACUGAGAGGUUGAACGGCCACAUUGGGACUGAGACACGGCCCAGACUCCUACGGGAGGCAGCAGUGGGGGAUAUUGCACAAUGGGGGAAACCCUGAUGCAGCGACGCCGCGUGGAGGUAGAAGGUUUUCGGAUUGUAAACUCCUGUCGUUAGGGACGAUAAUGACGGUACCUAACAAGAAAGCACCGGCUAACUACGUGCCAGCAGCCGCGGUAAAACGUAGGGUGCAAGCGUUGUCCGGAAUUACUGGGUGUAAAGGGAGCGCAGGCGGACCGGCAAGUUGGAAGUGAAAACUAUGGGCUCAACCCAUAAAUUGCUUUCAAAACUGCUGGCCUUGAGUAGUGCAGAGGUAGGUGGAAUUCCCGGUGUAGCGGUGGAAUGCGUAGAUAUCGGGAGGAACACCAGUGGCGAAGGCGACCUACUGGGCACCAACUGACGCUGAGGCUCGAAAGCAUGGGUAGCAAACAGGAUUAGAUACCCUGGUAGUCCAUGCCGUAAACGAUGAUUACUAGGUGUUGGAGGAUUGACCCCUUCAGUGCCGCAGUUAACACAAUAAGUAAUCCACCUGGGG